Molecule: ribosomal RNA, 425 nt
Filed under: uncultured bacterium
Lineage: Bacteria
Description: partial 16S ribosomal RNA
Rfam family: Bacterial small subunit ribosomal RNA
Source: RNAcentral
GUGGGGAAUCUUGCGCAAUGGGCGAAAGCCUGACGCAGCCAUGCCGCGUGAAUGAUGAAGGUCUUAGGAUUGUAAAAUUCUUUCACCGGGGACGAUAAUGACGGUACCCGGAGAAGAAGCUCCGGCUAACUUCGUGCCAGCAGCCGCGGUAAUACGAAGGGGGCUAGCGUUGCUCGGAAUUACUGGGCGUAAAGGGCGCGUAGGCGGACAGCUUAGUCAGAGGUGAAAGCCCAGGGCUCAACCUUGGAAUUGCCUUUGAUACUGGGUGUCUUGAGUAUGAGAGAGGUGUGUGGAACUCCGAGUGUAGAGGUGAAAUUCGUAGAUAUUCGGAGGAACACCAGUGGCGAAGGCGGCUUACUGGUCCAUUACUGACGCUGAGGUGCGAAAGCGUGGGGAGCAAACAGGAUUAGAAACCCCUGUAGUCC